AAACAGUUUGGUAACAUGCAUGUAAAGUGAAUUUGUCAUUCAUCACCAUGGGGAAAGGCAAGGAACUCUAAUGUUUAGCCUUCCUAAAUCAGGGAGAAUCAAAACCUGUGGGACAGCGGUAAACCUACAUGGAAGAGGAAAGGUUGCAGGAAAAUGCUUCUGAGGGCAACCAACAAAUGUGUCUGGAGUUAAAUGGCUUUGGGAUGGGGAACCAGGUGCUAGGAAAUGAAAUAGAGUUAUUUGGUAACACAUGAGUGGUGGCUUUGGUGUCGAAAGAAGGAUGCAUAUGCAGAACAGAACCCUGUACCUGCUGUAACAUUGAUUGGCUCUCAUUAUGGAGCCAAUCAAUGGGAAAACUGCCAAACCGUCAGGCCUGAGCUUUUUUGUAGGUCAUCUUAAUCAGAGGAGCCAGCAUUUUGGAGGUGACUGCGUUAUGUACGGGCAUUCCACCUGGAAAGGAUGUGAAUGUUAAUCAACACAGGAAGACGUCGCACAAUAGGACGGUUAAAACCGGCUUCCUCUACUGACAGCGGCCUACUGUCCCCUGAAGACAUGUU
Molecule: long non-coding RNA, 557 nt
Organism: Esox lucius (northern pike)
Lineage: Eukaryota; Metazoa; Chordata; Actinopteri; Esociformes; Esocidae
Source: Ensembl